Molecule: long non-coding RNA, 2041 nt
Organism: Phycodurus eques (leafy seadragon)
Lineage: Eukaryota; Metazoa; Chordata; Actinopteri; Syngnathiformes; Syngnathidae
Exons: 3
Source: RefSeq, a predicted model, not a curated record
GGUGCUGUGUGUACAUUAAUGAAGGGAAAGAAAUGAACUUAAAUGAUUUUAGCAAAUGGCUGAAAUAUAAGAAAGAGUGAAAAAUUCCAGGGGGUCAAAAUACUUUCUGUACCCAGUGUAGAAAUAUAUACUGUAUAUUUACUGUAUAUUAAGUUCUAAUACGGACUCAGAGAAUGCUUAAUAUGAAUUAAAUAAGCGUUAUGUUAAGUUGAGCUAUUAUUUUGAAAUCUAAUAAUAAUAAUAAUAAUGGGCCACCCAUCGCUGCAAGUGUCAAUGUUAAGGCCCGAAAGCCAAGUGAAACUUUCUGUCAGGGAUUCAGGAAAUGGUCACUGCAUGCUCAGUAACCAUAUCAGCCAGUGACUAUUGACCAAAGUCCAACGUUCACUUCUGGAAGACUCCAUGCGGUGACUCUAACAUGUCCUGUGAAAGAACGAGAAGGCGGUGAAGGUAAAAGACUCUUGCUAAUUCUGACUUUGGUUUUACUUUCUUCCAUCCAGGGCCACUUUUUGCUCAUUUCGUCCAUUUUCCUCGAUCGUAUAAGUGUCUUCUUGCUGUUGUUUUUCAAAUGUAUCCUUCGACCUCCUUUGUGCCAGUUUAAGGAUGGAUGGAAUUGAGACAGAAUCACAAGUAAAACAGAAAAACCAAUGAUCCUUUCUUCACUCUUUGUCUUCCUGAUUUAUUUUUUCACGUUGUGUGUCUGGACUGUACACUCUUGAACUGCUUCUCUUUUCAUGCUAACACUUCGUGUGUGCUUAUAUAUAGACACAAUUUUGUACAUUACAUUGUUUCAUUUAUGAAACAACAUUUAUGCCACAGCAGCCCUAGUCAACAGCACUGGAAAUGACCCAAACCAUAUUUUUAUGUUUCUGUAGCAGAAGCUGGCCAUCCAUCCAUUUUCACUCAGUGAGAAUUUAAGCCGUCCAAAUCAACAAUAUGAUGACUAUUGUUGUGGUUGCAGUUUUCAGUGGCAUAAUUGUACACGAGAGCAAGAUACCGUAUAUUACAACCAACCCCACACGAUUACCAUUGUUAAAUGCUGAAUAUCCGAUGCGGAUCUCAUUCUACAGUAUUGCGCGAGUGGUCGAGUUCUGGGGCUGGUUUGUAUGUGUUUCACAGAUGGAGCUUUGCAUUGUGUUGAUAGCAGCCAGUGUGGCGCCAGCGUCUGCAGCAGAACAGGUAAAAUCCGCUUCAAAGUAUCGCGUAUUUCUCGAAGUGAAUGAGCUUGCUGCCUUGCCAAUGUUUCCUGGCAACUUACCAGCUGUGUAAGUUGUUCCUCCCAGGAAUGCUAAAUGUUAUUUUCUUCAUUGGAAUGACUAGUACUUACACACACAGUGUUCUUAUCACUUUCGUUAGUGCUCCUAAUCAGGAUAAUAAUAUCAUUGUUAAUAAUAACUCGUCCAAUAUGGUGUCCGUAGUUUAAAGUGGAGGAUUUGUUUCGUAACACUGACACAGUGUUAAUAAUGAUAACUAACUCACUAUUUGAGAUGCUUUUUGUGUGCUGCACUUUGUUAAUGUGGAUUUAUUUUGACCGCAGCUCAGCAUGAUAGAAAGUCUCCUUUUGGCCACACAUCAGCGUCCCUGGCUUUGGGGGGUCUAUGUUUUCGCCGUUGGACUACCCGUCGUUCUUUUCAUUAGCUUCAUGUGGCCCGACAAGAGGUUUGGACCCCCUGACCAUCAAUAUUACUAUAAGAAGUCGGAUGAUUUACAACCAGAUGACCCUGAGAUCUCGCAGAAGAAAUAGCAGUGUUGAAGCUGACAGAACAUUGGCAAGAGCAAGAGACACUCAUGGUUACCCGGGCGAGCGUCGCCAAGACACAAAGAGUCGACAGAUCCACGAACGCCAACCCUUUUCUUGAGCGCGCCCGGCCGGCUCUCCCAAAAUGGGACGAAAGAAGCUGAAGUAUCAACAAACAGGAAAAACAGACAGUUUCCUUUCACACAUCAUAUUUGAAUUCCAUGCUUCUUAUUUCUGUACUUGCAUUGAAACUAUUUCCUCGGGCAGUGCAUAUUAAGUGUUUGUUUGAUAUGAUAUUUUGAUGUU